RNAcentral lists this ribosomal RNA (301 nucleotides) under uncultured bacterium. Its description in RNAcentral is "partial 16S ribosomal RNA". It matches the Rfam family "Bacterial small subunit ribosomal RNA", at positions 509 to 807 of the family's 1533-position model. The record is from RNAcentral.
CAGCAGCCACGGUAAUACGAAGGGGGCUAGCGUUGCUCGGAAUGACUGGGCGUAAAGGGCGCGUAGGCGGAUUGUUUAGUUAGGCGUGAAAUUCCUGGGCUUAACCUGGGGACUGCGCUUAAUACAGGCAGUCUAGAGUGAGGAAGAGGGUUGUGGAAUUCCCAGUGUAGAGGUGAAAUUCGUAGAUAUUGGGAAGAACACCGGUGGCGAAGGCGGCAACCUGGUCCUUGACUGACGCUGAGGCGCGAAAGCGUGGGGAGCAAACAGGAUUAGAUACCCCCGUAGUCCCUGUCUCUUAUAC